Molecule: ribosomal RNA, 253 nt
Filed under: uncultured bacterium
Lineage: Bacteria
Description: partial 16S ribosomal RNA
Rfam family: Bacterial small subunit ribosomal RNA
Source: RNAcentral
UACAGAGGGUGCGAGCGUUGUCCGGAAUCACUGGGCGUAAAGGGUGCGUAGGCGGGGCUUUAAGUCAGGGGUGAAAUCCUGGAGCUCAACUCCAGAACUGCCUUUGAUACUGAAGAUCUUGAGUUCGGGAGAGGUGAGUGGAACUGCGAGUGUAGAGGCGAAAUUCGUAGAUAUUCGCAAGAACACCAGUGGCGAAGGCGGCUCACUGGCCCGAUACUGACGCUGAUGCACGAAAGCGUGGGGAGCAAACAGG